This 256-nucleotide ribosomal RNA is filed under the name uncultured bacterium. RNAcentral's name for it is "partial 16S ribosomal RNA". It matches the Rfam family "Bacterial small subunit ribosomal RNA", at positions 795 to 1052 of the family's 1533-position model. The record is from RNAcentral.
CCACGCUGUAAACGCUGUCGAUUUGGGGGUUGGGCUUAGAGCUUGGCGCCCGUAGCUAACGUGAUAAAUCGACCGCCUGGGGAGUACGGCCGCAAGGUUAAAACUCAAAUGAAUUGACGGGGGCCCGCACAAGCGGUGGAGCAUGUGGUUUAAUUCGAUGCAACGCGAAGAACCUUACCUACUCUUGACAUCCAAAGAAUCCUGUAGAGAUACAGGAGUGCCUUCGGGAGCUUUGAGACAGGUGCUGCAUGGCUGU